GACGAACGCUGGCGGCGUGCUUAACACAUGCAAGUCGAACGGAAAGGCCCUGCUCUUGCGGGGUGCUCGAGUGGCGAACGGGUGAGUAACACGCGAGUAACCUGUCCUUGUCUUUGGGAUAACUUCAGGAAACUGGGGCUAAUACCGGGUAGGAGCUACUGCUGCAUGGGGGGGGUUGGAAAGUGUCGGCGGUUGGGGAUGGACUCGCGGCUUAUCAGCUUGUUGGUGGGGUAGUGGCUUACCAAGGCUUUGAAGGGUAGCCGGCCUGAGAGGGUGACCGGCCACAUUGGGACUGAGAUACGGCCCAGACUCCUACGGGAGGCAGCAGUGGGGAAUAUUGCACAAUGGGCGGAAGCCUGAUGCAGCAACGCCGCGUGCGGGAUGACGGCCUUCGGGUUGUAAACCGCUUUCGCCUGUGACGAAGCGUGAGUGACGGUAAUGGGUAAAGAAGCACCGGCUAACUACGUG
Molecule: ribosomal RNA, 468 nt
Filed under: uncultured bacterium
Lineage: Bacteria
Description: partial 16S ribosomal RNA
Rfam family: Bacterial small subunit ribosomal RNA
Source: RNAcentral